GUAGGUACUGCUACANACCAGGGACGGUAANAGUAGAACGUAGACUGCUAAUACCGCAUAAGCGCACGAGGCUGCAUGGCCCUGUGUGAAAAACUCCGGUGGUAUGGGAUGGAUCCGCGUCUGAUUAGCUAGUUGGUGAGAUAAAAGCCCACCAAGGCGACGAUCAGUAGCCGACCUGAGAGGGUGGCCGGCCACAUUGGGACUGAGACACGGCCCAGACUCCUACGGGAGGCAGCAG
This 238-nucleotide ribosomal RNA is filed under the name uncultured bacterium. RNAcentral's name for it is "partial 16S ribosomal RNA". It matches the Rfam family "Bacterial small subunit ribosomal RNA", at positions 117 to 354 of the family's 1533-position model. The record is from RNAcentral.